Miniopterus natalensis is the source of this 1776-nucleotide long non-coding RNA. RefSeq lists it as uncharacterized. The record is from RefSeq and is a predicted model, not a curated record. Lineage: Eukaryota; Metazoa; Chordata; Mammalia; Chiroptera; Miniopteridae.
GGCGUUCGAAGGCACGCGAAGCAACUACCUAGCGCUAGGUUGAAAAGAGGCGGGCCCUCCGAUUAAGCAAAAUGUUGGUUUCCAUUUUCCCCGAUGAGCUCCCGAGCGGCGCCCGUCCCCGUGGGCUCCUGAGCCACGGGCGCGUUUAGGAGGAUCGCCGGGUAUAUAUAUUCCUCAGGCUCGCUGGCGACUCAGAACCUCGGGGCUCGAACGGCCCGUGAGAGCCGCCUGGUGAACCGAGAGCAGGGAGCGUCUGUUGGGAGCAGAAAGAACUAAACGGAGGAGCGGUUGUCACAGAAGGAACCCCCACCGGGAAACGGUUCCUGGCCGGGGGGGACCAUCAGCUUCAGGAAGUGUAUUGGUUUCCUUGUGCGAUCCUCUGCUGUUGGUUGAAGUCAUUUGAAGUUUUUUCUUGACUACAGGCAGAUUCCCGUUAACUGUGUAACUUUUCCCGACGGGGCCUGGCUUGGCUCGCUGGCCCUUUCCUACUGGAGUUGUCCUGCGGGCCCUCCAUUGUUGUGCUGAGAUGGGCCCACCUUAGAGAAUUACUGAUUAGUUGGAUGUUGCGGUCCAUCAACAGUACGGUCUUGAUGUGGAAAUCUACAGACUUCCCGUAAUUAGAGCUUUAUAAUCUCUAGUUGCUCGGAUCACGUUUUUUUCGGGGAAAUGCCUAUAACGUUUUGAGUAAUGUGAGCCUUGGUUUCAGCGCCCUGUCUCUGCGUUGUCACUGAGUGUACUGAGCAUCAUGGAAUUGACAGGCGAAACGAGUCAACCGCUGUGCCUAGAUGAGUGUUAAUAUCUGAGUCUUUGGGCUCUUGACGCUCAUUCGUUGAAAAUCUGCCUUUCCAUCCCUUGCGGGCUAUGUUAGAUACUAAAGAAGGCUUCCCCACAAUCCAUAUGCAUCUGCUUUGACUGGUGGUUUCUAUCAACCUACAAAGACUGUGACUUAUUGGUGAGGGCAGCUGGACAACUCUGAGAGCAUCUUAGAGAAAUCCAUCUUGGGCACACUCUAUAAAGGAACUCCUUCUCUGGAAAUAACACCCCAGAUAAGUGCACAAAAGCAAGACACCCUCGUGGACCUACUUCCUCCCGCUUUCAACACCCUGAUGCCUGAAGUGUGUAGAAUUUGACAGCAGUAUCAAGAGCUGAGGAGGAGAAGAUGGAAAGGAGUCUAGCAACUUAAAAAUCUCGUAGCAUUCUCUGUGAGGCGACCAUUUUCCUGUUGGUGGCUCAAUUUUUUAGGAGAUAAAGAAGAUGCUAAGGCCUGUGGCAGUAUCAUCAUGUCAGAUCUCAGCUUAUUGAAAUGUUUGCUCCCUUCCCUUACUCUAUAUCACAGUUUGCCUUUUGUAUUCUUAAGUUGACUCAUUUGUUUCCUAUUAGUACUUGAAACACCAUAUGGCUGCCAUAAGCCCUUAACAGAAUGACUUCUGAUAAGGGGGGGAAGGCCCAUGUUCCCACCUUCCUAUGAAAUUUUGGCCUAUUCACAAAACUACCCCCAAGGUUUUAAAUAGUAUCUAAGCUUUUACUAAUUUCGGUAAGAACGUUGCUAUAUCUUUUUGAAGUCAUUUUUACUGCUAAGUGGUGCCAGGCAUUUAUUAGCCUGCCACUUUAGGAUUUGUCUAAAUUAAACCUCUCUAAACAUAGCAUAAAUUAGAAACCUGUACUUGUAUUAUUUAAAAACCCCCCAAAACUUAAAUUUUACUAUUGAACUGAGAAUGCUUUAUAAUGAGUAUGUCAAGUUAAUAUUAAAUAUUCAGUAGAGUAUGUUAAAGUUAA